AAGGGGUGCCUAAAAACGGCUGAGAUCAUACCCUAUGAACCUGAUACGGAUAAUGCCGGCGAAGGAAUUGUUCAUA
This 76-nucleotide non-coding RNA is filed under the name uncultured Barnesiella sp. The record is from RNAcentral. Lineage: Bacteria; Pseudomonadati; Bacteroidota; Bacteroidia; Bacteroidales; Barnesiellaceae.